This 498-nucleotide ribosomal RNA is filed under the name uncultured bacterium. RNAcentral describes it as "bacterial SSU rRNA". It matches the Rfam family "Bacterial small subunit ribosomal RNA", at positions 899 to 1397 of the family's 1533-position model. The record is from RNAcentral.
ACUCAAAGGAAUUGACGGGGGCCCGCACAAGCGGAGGAACAUGUGGUUUAAUUCGAUGAUACGCGAGGAACCUUACCUGGGUUUAAAUGGGGAGUGGCAGGUGUCGAAAGAUGCUUUUCCUUCGGGACACUCUUCAAGGUGCUGCAUGGUUGUCGUCAGCUCGUGCCGUGAGGUGUCGGGUUAAGUCCCAUAACGAGCGCAACCCUUGCCGAUAGUUGCCAUCACGUAAAGGUGGGCACUCUAUCGGGACUGCCGGUGUAAACCGUGAGGAAGGUGGGGAUGACGUCAAAUCAGCACGGCCCUUACAUCCAGGGCUACACACGUGUUACAAUGGCCAGUACAGAGGGCCGCUACCCCGCGAGGGGAUGCCAAUCUCGAAAGCUGGUCUCAGUUCGGAUUGAAGUCUGGAACCCGACUUCAUGAAGCCGGAUUCGCUAGUAAUCGCGCAUCAGCCACGGCGCGGUGAAUACGUUCCCGGGCCUUGUACACACCGCCCGU